Long non-coding RNA from Triticum dicoccoides, 2999 nucleotides. RefSeq lists it as uncharacterized. Lineage: Eukaryota; Viridiplantae; Streptophyta; Magnoliopsida; Poales; Poaceae. The record is from RefSeq and is a predicted model, not a curated record. The transcript has 5 exons.
CCAAAAAAUCCCCACGAUCGUUCCUACCCGCUCGCUCCGUCCCCGACUCCCCUCCCUCCCACGCCUCGCGCCUCCUUGCACCGCUCCGGCAGCCGCUCGCCAUCCGCCGUCGCCGGCGACCACCAGCAGCGCCCGUCGCGCCUCUCCGCGCGCCACUCGGAGGCCCCAGCCAGGCCGCGCAGCCGUCCUCCACAACCCGGGCCUCCUCCUCGACCUCGCCUCUCCGUGCGACAACCGGCGUCGCCGCCGGCGGCCACGGGUCCAGCGCCGCCUUCGUCCUCCACCUUCUCCUAAAGCGCGCGUUCGCCGCGGGCGCUGGAGGUGGCGCGGCGGUCCUCGCCCUCGAGCUCACUGAGGACGGCGUCCUUGCCGAGCAGCUCGACGAGAGCAGGAGGCUCGCCUCGCUGCCAAUGUCACUGAACUGAAUCGGCAGCCAUCUCAGCCACGUCUUUCAGCACGUAACCGGCGAACCUAUUCAGCAGCUCCUGGGCAAACAGCUUUGACCCCUGUUAACACGUUAUGAGGAUCCAUGGCCUCUUCUUCUAUUUCUUCAGUGUUUCUGCUGCAUCUUCCUGACACUGGUCCUCAACUAGCUUAUUUUGCUCUUCUUUCUGAAGAUCCAUGGCCUGCUUUUCCAAUUGUUGAGUGGGUACAGUAGUCUUCAUAUCAUCACCUAAUUGAUUGCAAACAAAAUUCUCAUCCGUUUCAGAUACGAUAGUCCCGCUUUUCUGACUCUUCUCUGCUUCUGAACUUGCCUUCUCUGUUUCAAGACACAUAACGCGGGACACUGCAACUACAGAAAGGCAUGGGACACGCACCGAUUUAAGUCCAUGUCAGGGGCAUCACCUGUCUCACGUUCGCAGGAGGAAGAAGCUCUGAGUUCGCCGGAGGUACACAAACAUCCGUCGAGCACUCCAAUGUCGCCUACGGCGUCUGCACCAGAGGUGCCAAAGGCGUCUCAGGUGGAGGCGAAGGAGGUUCUUCUAAUUCCUAAGGCACCAGACUGGACAUUCCUAUGUUGACUACCAUUUAUGGUCAAUAAAGUUGUCCGUGUUUGUUUUUGAUUGCUCAACUAAAUAUCUGAAGCCAAAUGAUGUAUGCAUUCAUGUUUCUCCUCUAAGGCAGAAAGACUGGACAUUCCUAUGGAUGCCCAGUACAACCGAAGAUGGGUUCCCGAUUGUUCCUAGAUAUUUCAGAGCAACUAGAGUGGUCUUACCUGACAAGCUCCAAUGUUGUGCUGAAGUAUUUUGAACAAGCUUGUCCUUUGCCUUAUGCCGGAACAAGGCACCUUCUAUUCCCCAUGGGCACCAAGAAUGCGAAGACAUUGACGAUUCGAGCAAAUGUAGGUUCAGGCUUCAAGAUUGAGCCGAGCGCCCUACCAGCAGAUCUGGAUAAUGCAUAUCAGCGAUUGGAUAUUUCUGGCCCUACAGUUAACCCUUUUGUUUUUUCCUGUAUGGUGAGGGCGAGAUAAAAGAUAUGCUUUCUGUUUGUGCUGAGCAUGGAGCUUGGGUAGUGAUAGACACCUUCUCUGGUCUGGAGUUCCACAACAGAGAUGGCUGGAUUUUGCGGAACGGGAUGAUAUUUUCACAAGCCCAAGUCGACAUAUUUCACAAGUACUUUUUUUUCUUCGAAAAGGAGGAUAUUUUCACAAGCCCAAGCCGACCACAUGGCACUUUGAAAUGCACUUAUAGGAAGCUGUUGGUUCUGAAGAACAAGAGGGAUCAACAUUUCUCUAAUCUCAUCACGCCAACAAACUGACGAAGGUACCACUGUGGUAUUUAGAUGCUGGCGAAACCGACGGCGUACAUCGGCAAAUCGUUCAGGGUGGAUGAUUUUGAAGGCGAGCUCGACGGCUGCAAUAUCAGGGAAGCCCUACUGAACUACUGCAGGUUCAGCUUACCCUGUAGUAUUUUCUUUACAACAAGGCCUCACACGAGCAAAACUGUCAUCUUGUUGUUUAGUUUUGGCCCGGGACUGCAAUUUUUUCCCUUAUUGCAUUCCUUAGUGCAUAAAAUAAAAUAUAUAAUGUGCAUAAAAGCUGAAAACAACCAUUACGAUCAUAGUAGGCGAACUGAAAUUGUAGGGAUAUAAAGCAGUACCUGAACAUACAAAAGCUGGCCACAACUCUGUCUUCAAUUCCAUCUUGUUUCCAGAUUUCAGGAGUAGAUCAUCACCACCAUCACGACGAUCAGGCUCUUUGUCAGUGCAAAUAACAGACUAACACCACAAGGACUUCAUUAACCUUAGCCACUUCUUAUGGGUACAUGAGAACUAAAAAAAUUCAUCUGUUAAAAUUUGUUUUUGUGACUGUUUGGACUAAUUCAUGUGCAUAAUUUAUAUUUUCAAUUAGACUGAUUUAUUGUAGUUUUAUCAAUGAAGUAUAUUAAGAUGUGGGCAUUAUAUCGAAAGUGUUGUUCUACACCCGAGGUCAUGUGAGCUCGGGUGAACAGUAAAAUAAAUAAAAAAUGGAAAAACAAUUCAAAAAAGGUGAUUUCUUUUUGUGUGAGACACUGAAAAAAUGUUUAUUGGCUUGCAAAAUUUCAAUACUAUCUUUCUUGACAGAUUGUUUGUGGUCUGCCAUGAGCCCACGACGUACCCAUCUGCAUCUGCCUCGCCUUGAGGCCACAGCAGCACCCCUGCCCUUCUGCUCCUGCUGGCGACCGCAACCCUCUGGCGGCAGCGACGCCGCUCUCGUGUGCUGGCCUUGCUGUCUCAUCUCCUCUCGCUCUCAUGUUUGGGUCUGAUGUUAGCGUUAUGUGUGUGUGGAUGGAUAUGAUGCUACCACGGUGUGUGUACAAAUCUAUUUUUGGUUUAUUUUUCUUUGGAGUAUUGCUGUUGGAGAUGAGCUUAAGAGGCGAAAGAGUAAAGAUCUGGUAGGCUGUUUGUAUUGCUUCAGGAGAAUCUUUUAUCACUGUUUUUGGGACUGUAUUUAUGUCAAAGAGGCAUGUAGGGAGCUGGAACAAAUUUGUUACUUCUCAUGGCCACUUUUUUGAACAUGA